RNAcentral lists this ribosomal RNA (253 nucleotides) under uncultured bacterium. RNAcentral's name for it is "partial 16S ribosomal RNA". It matches the Rfam family "Bacterial small subunit ribosomal RNA", at positions 524 to 776 of the family's 1533-position model. The record is from RNAcentral.
GACGUAGGGCGCGAGCGUUGUCCGGAUUUAUUGGGCGUAAAGAGCUCGUAGGCGGCUUGUUGCGUCGACCGUGAAAACCCGUGGCUUAACUGCGGGCUUGCGGUCGAUACGGGCGGGCUGGAGUUCGGUAGGGGAGACUGGAAUUCCUGGUGUAGCGGUGAAAUGCGCAGAUAUCAGGAGGAACACCGGUGGCGAAGGCGGGUCUCUGGGCCGAUACUGACGCUGAGGAGCGAAGGCCAGGGGAGCAAACGGG